Non-coding RNA from Bos taurus (domestic cattle), 69 nucleotides. NCBI's taxonomy places the organism in Eukaryota, Metazoa, Chordata, Mammalia, Artiodactyla, Bovidae. The record is from Rfam.
CCUGGUGGCUCAGAUGGUAAAGCAUCUGCCUACAAUGCAGGAGACCUGGGUUCGAUCCCUGGGUCAGGA